Molecule: long non-coding RNA, 761 nt
Organism: Amphimedon queenslandica
Lineage: Eukaryota; Metazoa; Porifera; Demospongiae; Haplosclerida; Niphatidae
Exons: 3
Source: RefSeq, a predicted model, not a curated record
UUUGUGCAUAGAUAUAGGAUCGGCUGUUGGGAAACAUACAUUAGUGUUAGUGUGGUAUGGUUGACCGAAGGAUGAUCAGUUACAGACAGAUCGUCAUGUGAUUUGUGCUGAAUUUCGAUUCAAUCCCAGUUUUGAGUCCUGUAAUCGUAACUCAAGUUUAUUAGUUACUACAUAUAGAAGCUCGUACUAGCAUUUUUCUUGUACUGGUAUAUUACCAUCACAGUACUACCAUAUUUUUGUCGGCAUCACUGGGCACAGUUGGGAAGAGGUACACAGAUACAGGAGGCUCCUCACCAUCCCAAUAUCUAUUCAACCCUAUAUACAUAAUGUUUAUAUUUUUAAAAAUUUAGAAUAAUAUUUUUGUAUUUACUUCUUCCAGUAGAUCGUUGAAUGUUACAACUGCUACCAGUACUAGGAUCUGAAUGAGGACCAUGUUGGGGUCUUUUGCUGGAACCACUUAUACUUGAUGAUGGUGGCUGAUAUAUGGUAGUCGGCAGGGCUGUCUGGUCCCAGUGGUGGCGGUUCUUGGGCUGGUUUUCUGUGUAGUAGUGAGGGCUAUUCCCUUGCCACUAUCACUUAUUACCUGCCUGACAGCAUCAUUGACCGUGUUUCUUAGGCUGUUGGCAGAUUUUUCAGAAUAUACAAUAUAAUAUUUGAUAAUAAUGUAAAAUUAUUACUUCAAGUCAAUUAUACCGUUUCUCUCCUUGCUAUGCUUUCUAGGUGUACUUGUAGGUUAACUUUCUCACCUUUGCUAAUUUUAA